RNAcentral lists this ribosomal RNA (402 nucleotides) under uncultured bacterium. RNAcentral's name for it is "partial 16S ribosomal RNA". It matches the Rfam family "Bacterial small subunit ribosomal RNA", at positions 338 to 732 of the family's 1533-position model. The record is from RNAcentral.
CCUACGGGGUGCAGCAGUGGGGAAUCUUCCGCAAUGGACGAAAGCCUGACGCAGCGACGCCGCGUGAGGGAUGAAGGUUUUCGGAUCGUAAACCUCUGUCAGCAGGGAAGAACGGUCACUGUGGUAAUUAGCAGUGAUUUGACGGUACCUGCUAAGGAAGCAACGGCUAACUACGUGCCAGCAGCCGCGGUAAUACGGAGGUGGCGAGCGUUAACCGGAAUUAGUGGGCGUAAAGCGAUCGUAGGCGGUAUAACAAGUCAAAGGUGAAAUCCUCGCGCUCAACCGGGGAAUUGCAUUUGAAACUGUCGAACUUGAGUGUGUAAGAGGAGAGUGGAAUUCCAGGUGUAGGAGUGGAAUGCGUAGAUAUAUGGAGGAACAUCAGUGGCGAAGGCGACUAUCUGG